GGGUGGUGGGGCCCCGGGGAACUUGGCCUUCCCUACAUCCGCAAACGGUCAAUAUGGCGGGGGCUCACCUUGGGGGGCGGCGCCUUCCUCCAGUAGCGGGCCGCAUAGGGUACUCUAUGACCCUCGGCCCUACGGGGUCGCCCGUAAGCUAUACUCUCCUCUGAAAGGAGGAGAGUAUAGCUGCACACUCGAACCGGGUUAGGCCCGGGAGAGCGUUAAGGCCCCGAAGGAGCAGCCCUAAGGGUGGCGGGCGGCGUUCGUAGGUCCCCGGGGUAAGAGGAACUAUGCGGCUCCGCUGCUGGAUAGGCGUCCACCUCCGGGGGGCCACCACCC
This 333-nucleotide signal recognition particle RNA is filed under the name Thermoprotei archaeon. Its description in RNAcentral is "signal recognition particle sRNA". It matches the Rfam family "Archaeal signal recognition particle RNA". Lineage: Archaea; Thermoproteati; Thermoproteota; Thermoprotei. The record is from RNAcentral.